This 405-nucleotide ribosomal RNA is filed under the name uncultured bacterium. RNAcentral describes it as "bacterial SSU rRNA". It matches the Rfam family "Bacterial small subunit ribosomal RNA", at positions 355 to 774 of the family's 1533-position model. The record is from RNAcentral.
UAGGGAAUAUUGCACAAUGGGCGAAAGCCUGAUGCAGCGACGCCGCGUGAGCGAAGAAGUUCUUCGGAACGUAAAGCUCUGUCCUUGGGGACGAAAAAAAUGACGGUACCUAAGGAGGAAGCCCCGGCUAACUACGUGCCAGCAGCCGCGGUAAUACGAAGGGGGCAAGCGUUGUUCGGAAUUACUGGGCGUAAAGCGCACGCAGGCGGCGUGACGCGUCAGAAGUGAAAUCCCCGGGCUCAACCUGGGAACUGCUUUUGAAACGGUCAUGCUUGAAUCAUGGAGAGGGUAGCGGAAUUCCGAGUGUAGAGGUGAAAUUCGUAGAUAUUAGGAGGAACACCAGUGGCGAAGGCGGCCUGCUGGGCUUUUACUGACGCUGAGGCUCGAAAGUGUGGGUAGCAAACA